UUCUAGGCAGUUCCUCAGAGGUGCCCGGGGAACUGAGACUCAGUUGCCACCGUGGUGACUGGCUCAGUUGCAUCUCCAUUAGCUUCUGCUCCUUCUCCAUUCCACCCCACACUUCACCUUCUAGGAACGACUGCCAUAUAAACUGCCUGUCCCAGGCUCUGCUUUUAGGGGAAACCACCUAAGACAACCCGUCUCUCCACAGUACCUUUCUGGAGCAGGAGCUAAUGAGAAGUGACAAACCCUAGAGGUGCGGCAGUGGCUAAUCUCUGGACUGCCUGACCCUCUGCUCCCGGCUUUCUAGCUCUUCUGGACCCUUUGAAUUCUGGGAGAACAUGGCCAAGGCAGGAGCAGCCCUCCUUCACACCCUCCACCAGAGCAGAAGGCAGGCUUUACGUGUCUUCAGGUAUGAAUCAGACACUCCUCUGCCUGGGUUCUGGGGACCAAUAUUACGCUGGCUGAGUGAACUCAAGCCCCUCCUCUUGCUCCAGGUGAGGGAGCAGCACCUCCCACCGUUCCUCUUGGGGGUGGCCCUGGAACUCACAGCAUCCAGGUGAGUCACACCAAAGAAAUUCUCUUUAGAAUCCCUCUCUUCAUCACCAUUGCACGGGGGACUGGGGAGCUCUGACGGGUUCCCAGUACCUGCUUUGAACAUGCUUUUCUUGGUCUAGUGCCCCAGUUGGUGUCUUAUAUUUAUACCUUAGGGCUCUAGUCAAAAUGCUCAUUUUAACAUCCUGUUUUAGCACCAUAGGCCCCCAUUCAUCUUCUCUUCUCUGUUCUUCCCUCCAAUUAUCUAAAAAAAAAAAAGAAGAAAAAGAAGAAGAAGGGGAUGGGAGUAGGGCAUAAUUUCUGCCCAGGUAUUAUUUUUACUUCAAGGCCAUGGAAAGUUAGCUUGUGCCUUCUUGCGAAGGUCCACUUGCUCUGGGAGACUUACGUGCCUCAUCCAUGAGGUCAGAGCUCCCACCUGCAGAUGCAUAGUGUGGAACAGUGGCCCAAACGGGGUUGAAGGACAGUGGCUGUUUGGUUCAAAUCCAAGCUCUGCCAUUUACUUAGCCUCUCAGAGCCCUGCAGGGAGGGAAGGAUGAAGUUGAGUCAUGGUAGGUGCUUAAUGACAACUGUCUGAUUUUUCUGGCCCUUGGGAUAGUGUCCAUUUUCUUUUCUUUUCUUCCAAAGCCCUUCUUAGGGCACUCUUUUGUUGUAUAACUUUCCAUAACUAUCUCCUGUUGAAAUACUUCUCCUGGUCUAAAGAAGAGGGAGGGAAGAAUAUACAACAAGAAAUAAGAGGAAAUAACCUAAAAAUCAAAUUCAUUUUUGCAUAGAUCUGAGAGCUGGAAAGACCUUGAGAGAUCAUCUCUCUGAUCCUGACUGUGGUUAUGUUACAUGGCAUGUUCAAUUUUCACUUUCCAUAAUUUAUGUAAAUGAGUAUCACUGCUCCUAAAACUCAGACUAUCUUUUUCUUCACCAAAUACAUAUUUUUCCAAGCAGAUUCAUUCAAAACUAUACUGCCUCUAAAAGGACCAAUACAUGGAUAUAGUUUAUUCAGCACCAUGAAUUUGCAAGAAGUUGGGGGCAGGAGGGGGCAUUGUAUUGAAUCUUCAUCAUUUUUGUUUGUUUCUUUGUUUUCUAAGCAAAAUAAAGGAUCUCACAAUCAUCUGCCUCUACCACUGACUUACAUGCUUCACUUGAGAUUGCCACCAUCCUCAAGUUCAUGGGGCUGCUUCCCAGAGAUGGCAAUCUGUAGAUGCAGCAGUAUAGCUGAGCACACAAUGCAGAAGCUUUCAAAGCACAGAAAGGAUGCAGUGCUUGGUGUCUGGUACAGGACAGAGAAUGUGUUUUCAAGCUGCCCAGCCCAUGCUAGAAUCCCAUGCUUGUUUCUAAAGUUUAUGCCCAGAUAACCCCAUUGUAAUAGGAAAAAUGGUAGCCAUGCUUAUUCUAUUCCCACAGCUGAGUGCAAAUGUCUACUGUGGAAAAAUCUACACAGAGCAACUCUGUCCUCAGUCCUGGACCCCAGCCAGAGAUCAGGUGAUGUGUGUGGUUAGCUAAAAAGCGACCAAGACAAAAAGUCCCAAAGGGUCAUAUGAUCCACCCUCUCAGUUGGGAAAGCAAGUCAGUACCAGUCCCACUGACAGUGGGGCAUCUCGGGAGGGGACCAUCCUGCUCUGCGGGGAGGUGUCACUGGUCCCGUAUAGGUCUUUUCAACCAUGUUCACAUACCUGGCUUGAGUUUUAGCAGAUGCACCACCAAGAAUAUGAAAGGCCAGAAAUAUAAUAGGAACCAAAGCAUUCCCGCAGUUGAGAGGGAGAAUGACAUUUGAAUGCCAGUGCAGAGCUGCUUCUGGUCUAGGUCAGUGGUGCACAGUGCUGUACAGAAAAGGAAAAUGUCUGUUACUAUUCGUAGGACAUAAAACAGGAGUAAUAAAACCUGGAAUCAGCACCAAAGGACCCAUUGUUAUAAAGUACUACAAAAUGCCCCUAUUCGCUCUUGCAGUUUAUAGAAGCUUCCAAGUGGAAGCUGGGGUCCCUUGUCCUUGGAUUUCUGUCUUUGAGAUGCAGCUACUAGACUCCUGUGUGUUGCUCAGAGGGGGGUGCAGAGGGCACUCUGCUGCAUCCUUGCCUGUUGUACCCAGAUGGAUAGCUUCGCUUCGGCUUUCCAUGCAGAAAGCAUCUAAGGAAAUUUCUUCUUCCCGCUCUGCCUUCAUUUGCCUAAAACAGUUUGUGUUGCAUGAGGACAAAAAGGCAAUGGAUUCUCUCACAAAAUAAGAGACCGUUCCCCCCCGAACCCCCAAAAAAAAUACACACGCACAUGCACGCACACAAACAUUAGCCUUGGCUGAAAACCCCCAGGGCAACAGAGAACAUUUCCAAGCCCGGCCACCAUCUGAGUAAAAGUAAUUUUUUAAUUAAAACAAACCCCAUUUCAUACUUCCCACAAUGAUGUAAUGGCAGAUCCCUAUAGAAACGGCAUGACAUGCAGCAACACAUGUGAAAUGGAGGUAAAAGGAAAGAUUAAAUGAAAACACGUAUUUGAGAUGGUUAUUAGGAACAGUAACAUUUCCAGGAAUGGGUCACUUGGGAAAACAGUUGAUUUGGCUGGGGAUAAACAGUGCCUCUUAGGUGUGCCCUGAGAAGUCGCGAUGAGAACUUAAUUUUAAGUCUGCAGAUUGUAAUAAGAACUUGGUUAUUUAAAGUCACCGCCAAAGAGAAGGGGACAACCAUAAGCCAGCCCUCAGAGGAUGAACUGUAAGAGGCUAGUGUUACCCUUGGGGUCAGAAGGGGUGGGGCAGAGACUAGUUAAAUAUGCUGAAGCUAAUUUCUACUUGUCUUUUCAAAUGCUCUAGCAAUGGGAACCCUCUGAUUACACUGUCCUUGGCCACAGUGGAGCAACAAGGGUGUGAGAUCAGCAUUAAUGUAUGAGGCAGAAAGGAAAGCGAAGACUCAUAUUCCAACUCCACCAAGAGCUCUCUACAGGCUAAUGGAUUUUGGUAAAAUGUUUGUAAUCUGAUGCUUCUGGUCUUAAUUUUUCUGUUUGUAUUUUACCUUGCUGGACAUUCCAUAUUCCUCUGUAACUGAUGUUAUUUUUGCAGAAGAUCACACGAUAGACAAUGUGACAAUUCUCUUUUUGCCCAAGCUGGAUUCUAAAAUUUGAAAUAGCUGAUGUUCUCUUCCUUCCUUAAAUAACUAAAGUACAGCUUUGGUACUUAAACUUGGUGUUCCACUGAGAGUGCUCAUGUAGGCUUAUUUGAACUGUGCAAAGGGUAAAAACUGGAUGGUCAGGCAGGCAGAUGGGUGCAUGAUGAGCCAUUUCCUGAGACUGUGCUAGGGGACACAUCAGGGCAGUGCAACAUCCGGUAUGUAGAGGUUGGAAAUGAAGAAUUUGGAGCUAACAGCCUCUUAUGUGUGCACCUGAGAUCAAGAGGAGUCUAACGAAAGAUUGGUUUUACCCUUGUGUCACAUGUAUCCAAAAUUAACUAGGGUCUUCGUUUUUCAUAUUGUCAUGAAGUCUACAAAUAAAUCAUGUCAGGUGUAAGCUUCCCAGAGAUUAAAACUGGCUACUUUAAUCUCCCUUUAAAACAUCAUUACAUUUCUCUGGAACAUAAAAGCAAAUGCUGUGAGUCACAAAAAUAUGAAAUCUCAAGGUCAAUUGAUAUUGUGUCACUCAAGGCUUCCCAGAUACCCAAUAGAAAUUCCAUUACUUUGUGUGUGUGUCUUACAAUCUUGCUCGUCUUGCCUCCUUACAAUUCAAUGACCUUCAAAUGUAAUAGCUAUUGUUGCAGGUACUUUCAUCUUUACCUGAGUGAAGCAGAAUCAAUGUGCUUGACCAGCAAUUCCAAUUAAGCCACGAUAGACCAUCCUGCUGAAUCUGCAAGCUUUGGAUUUAUAUUGAAUUAAUGCAAGUUGAAAGGGGUUCCCGUAUUGUCACACUUAAUGCAUCCUUGUCAAAAAGAAAUGUAAUUACAAUAGUGCACGGCCCUGGUAGGUUGAUCAACUUAUGCAAGGCGACAACCAUGAAUUGAUCAUGUGGGAGUAUCAGUGAAAAUCCCAGGGACUAUUAUAAAAUGUGCUGCUUUUAGAUUGUUUAAUUCCCUAGAGCCUGGAUGGUUCAGAUGAUUAGUAAAGAGAUACACAUUUAGAGUCACUUACUUUCAGGUCAAUGGUUUAAAUAGACCAAUAGGUAGUAUCAAAGGCAAGUGCUCCUUGUCAGUUUUUAUUAUUUAGACAAAAUGUAGGUCUUAGUCUAACAGUUUUUUUCCAUGUAAGUCCAAGAAAAAUUUUUUUUAAUGUUUACAGUUAAAUAUUUUGCUUGGAGUAAAAAAAAAAUCUUUUCUGAAAAAAAGCAAGGGAAUUGAUAAGAUGGAGUAGACAAAGCAACAUUUACAUCUACUGUCGGGAGCCAUUUCUGACUUAGGCAUUAGACACACGUUAAAGCAUUAGCUUUGCUGAUCAACUUUAAUAUUAGUUUUUGGCUUGCUAAAUUUAAUUAGAAGAGAAAGAAAUCUAAGCUCUAAGGUGAUUAAAAAGAAAACAAGAGGUGCAUCUGGUUACUUAAGUACUGUGAUAGGUUAACCUAUGUAGUAAUGUGGAUGUGAUGGCUGGCAAACUUAACUCUCUUUUCUCAUCAACCACAGUGUUAUGUUUAUUUCCUAUUUGAGAUACUACAGAAAAGAAAUUUAUAUUCCCUCUUCUCCUCUAAACUAACCAAAAAUAACAAGGAACACUAGGAAACACCUCAUCCUUGAACCUCAAUGUAUGAAGUGUUCCACUUUCAUCUGAAUGCAGUGAAAACUGUGCCCAGGGAAGGGAAGACUCAGAAGUCUGAGCUCUACAGACCUGAGAUAACAUGUUCUCCAUGUUAUCUAGAUGGCCCACCAGAGGGGUAAAAUGAGGUGCCUUACUUGGAGAAGCAGGUCACAGUAUGUGGGUAAACCAGGUGUGCUUCCCACAGAGAACUUAUUUUUGCAAGAAACAGGCUAUCAGUGAGACUGGGUUUAGAAUAAACCUGGAUGGCAUGCAGAGCUGCAGCGUUGAUUACCUGAAGAUAAGUAAUGUUUAAAUUGCCAAACAGGAACCUGUGACCAAGGAGCCAGAGUGAUUUCCCCCAGCCAGGCAAAGAAUCACACCAACCAGGCAGAGUACAAUGGCAUGGUAUCCAGAGCAACAUAGCAAAUUUUCCUGUUAUCCUAGUGUAUCCCAGCAUAUCCCUAUGCUUUUGUU
Manis pentadactyla (Chinese pangolin) is the source of this 5708-nucleotide long non-coding RNA. RefSeq lists it as uncharacterized. The record is from RefSeq and is a predicted model, not a curated record. Lineage: Eukaryota; Metazoa; Chordata; Mammalia; Pholidota; Manidae. The transcript has 3 exons.